AAGCUGGUCCAAAGGCCAGCUAGAUGCAAAUGACAUUUUCCCAUUUCAUUAUCUAAGCUAGCUAAUAAUUUCCUGAAAAUUUUAAAUGGGCAACAGUAGAGUCAUGACCUGUCUUAAGCUCAUGGAGGUAAGGAGCAGCCACAUUGGGACUGCGUGAAAACAAGCAGUCUUCCUGAUCUGAAUUUGUGAAAUAGAGUUCUUGACUUGGAUGAAGCACUGCAGAAGGGACUUUGAAAGCACACUGACAAAGAGAUGGAGAGCUGGAGCCUGUUCCCACAAAAUCAGCAAUAAAACUGACUUCAGUAAGCGCAGGAAAAAGCUGCUUCUGAUCAUCUGUGUACAGAUCAAGUGCAGGAAAAGGGCAUCCAAAAGACCAAGGACGUGUAAGAUUCAAAGGUCAUUAAGGGCACCCAUGUCAGAAGUUGCUUGGACUCCAAGAUCUUGCUAAAGGUGUUCCAAUAUCCAAGAAACAGCUCCCAUCCAAAGGCAGAAACACCACCAAAUUUUUGAUGUGGUUUACUACUCUUUUGUGGGAUCCUACUCCAUGACAGCCAAACAGCCAGGAGAUGAGGUGCUGUUUGCAGAUGUGGCCAGGAGAAAUAAAAGGACACAAUAGAGGCUGCA
This 624-nucleotide long non-coding RNA is filed under the name Manacus vitellinus (golden-collared manakin). RNAcentral's name for it is "lncRNA (ENSMVIG00005008120.1)". The record is from RNAcentral. Lineage: Eukaryota; Metazoa; Chordata; Aves; Passeriformes; Pipridae.